GGAUGUUAAGACCUGUUUCGUCGAUUGUGUCCUAAAGAACGACUGCCAGUGCCCUCCUAAGGACCAUGGCGCCGAGAAGAAGACGGACGGCUAAGUUGACUGUAAUGCCAUGCCUGAGUUCUCAGGCGACCAUCAUGUUGCAAUAAUGAUGUAUUGUGUUCUUCCCUCAUCUCCCAUGCAUGCAUGCAUGUCAUCAUUGCCGUAUGCUUGAGGGCAGGGUUAUUGUUGUCGGGUGUCAUAGCUUAUAUAUAGCUGCAAAAUAAAAUGUUCAAGUGUGUGUUCGUGUUAUCACGUGUAUGGUUUCUAUACUGAAGUUGUAUGCAUGCAUAUCAUAUUUGUUAACCAUAAUAAUGCAAUAUUUAUGUAUUCCAUUUGCUUCUAUUUACUUUGACGCCGUUAUUUACCCUGCGGCCUUCUGGGUUUCUUCCAUAUGUUACACCAAUUUAUAUAUUGUUGGAACAUGCUUGUAACAGCCCAGAACAGCAGCAACAUUCUGGAGUGUUACCACGCUACACUACAGUUAUUACAGGCACACACAUAAGAGACAACAACAAAGAUAAAAGAACAUGGCACGCGGAAGCAACUUAAAUCAUCUAGUUAAACAUCUAACGAACUAGAUAAAAAGAGAUUAUAAGCUAAGCGAAAACUUCACAGCCAAAUAAUUUUAUUACAACACAUGUGUCCAAAAUAGAUAUAUGAAGAGGUGUGUGCACACGUGCUGCUACUCCCAGCCAACCAAGCACCCUCCAAACUCAAGAACCUACGGAGGGGAAAAUAGCGUAUGAGGUCUAUGGAAAACCUCAGCAAGCAAACUGCAUAAUCAUUAUUAUAAAGGAAGCACCAAAUAACUUUGAGUAGUAAGAUAAAUAAAUAUUUCACAAUAAUACUUCAUAAUAAAUAUGCAAAUGGUGCAAUGCAAUGCAGGACUCCACUCUACCAAAAAAUCCCCAAGGAAGGAGGUGAGGGCUGCAACCACAUUGCUAUAUCUUAACGUGCGUUGCUGUACCGGUACAUACCACAUAAUUCUGACUACGGUUUUUUCAUAUGCAUAAACAACAUGCGAAUGCAAAUGCAAGAUUGCAAUGCAUGAAGUUCAUAUACUUCAAAUUCAUAUCUUCAAAAGUAAAGCCUCAAGUGGAAUAAUAUAUAAAUCCAUUUCAGUUUAUCUUGCUAGUAUGAGGUACUGAAAUCAAAUGGAGGUAAUUCAAACAACAAAGUUAAAGCAUGUAGACCACAUUGCUACAUUUACUUGCCUUCACCGAAGAUCAAGAACGUGAGUUAAGCACGAUCCGAAGGUGCACCACGUAUUAAUGAACAUAACUCAGCACCAACACAAACACACAAGCAUAAGCAAACAUAAUUCAAAGCAUUCAUACGCCCGGAUCCGAUGUUCUCAAAAAAACACACGCAAAACUAGACAUGACAGCAGCACUGUUGCUUGUCUUUUUUUACCUUUUAAUCCUAUCAGCUAAAAAUUCCCAUCUUGUGCCAUCUAAAAGAUAAAAUCAUAACUUACAACUUUCUACCGAUCCCUAAAUAGAGGAAAACUCAUAAACAUAGGCUAAUCUUAAGAUGAACCUCAAACUGAAAAAUCUAACAGCAACUGCAGGAGAGUCCUAGUAAAAUAGGUAUAUCUGGAGCUCCAAAACUCAUAUGAAGAUGAACUUAACCAAUCUGUAAAUCUAAUAAAAUUUCCUACAACUCUUUAUUCAUUCAAAUAUCCAAUUCUAUCGUUUGUGUUGCCUAAAGUUUAGGUGAAUAGAUUCUGCCCAGAAUUACAUGUCUGAAAAACUGACAGAAUCAAACAUCAAUAUAUAUCAGCUGUUAACUCCGAUUGUGGUGUUCUUUAUGGCUAUGGAAAGCUCUGCAGAUCUUCUAUGACUCAUAUAUAGAUUUUAUAUUUUUUGAAGCCAUUUAGUUAACACAAAACAGACGUUACUGAAAACUGCACAGAUUGACUAUGUGCUGAAAAUAGCGAUGAGGGCAAAACAUUUCCCUAGCCCUUAACGGCGUCGAGUACCGCUAACGCACAUGCUAGAACAUUUGAAACCUUAGGGAAACAUGUGUUACAGCAGGGACAUGCGUCACCUAGGGUCUCCCCUUGGAAACAGCAAGGGCAAUGGCGACGGCGGCGAUCCGGACGAUUACUCCCGGUCGUUUUCCUCUUCCUAACGACAAACGUCACGGCAGCCCCGUCGAUUGCACCUAAGUUGCAACCUACAUGGCGGCACUACCAUGAACAGAGAGGAAUGGCAACCAAUUGGGGGGAAACGGAGAGAGCAAAGGAAGCCCAACCAAGUUUUGGAGAGGAACAGGGAUGAUGGACGGCGACGUACCCUGAUUUCCCUUCCCUUCUCUCUUCUCUUGUUCUCCCUCUCGACUUUGGAUCACGGCAAAAGGGAGUGGCAGUGCGGGGGAAAAACACGAAGGAAAGAAAAAGGACUUGGCAACGUAGCUGCAAGGGUACUGGAGCUAUGUCGUACUGUAGUAACCAUGGUGAAAUCUUGAACCAUCCAUAACUUCAUGACCGGAACUCCAGACAAGACAUAUGAGUGAUCAAACGGAAUGGAUUCGAUGAGCUCUAUGCAACCAUGGUAUCCAUUCAUCCAUCCGAGUGACGGAUCUAAAAGUCAACUUUUAGCCAUCAAUUUUAUGUAUUCGACACACAAAGCGUAUUUUAUCCUUUGCGCAUUCUAGGAGUUACAUUCUUCCCUCCUUAAAAGAAUUCAUCCCUGAAUUCACCAUUGCUAACGCAUGAACAUGAACCUGAACCACAUGUACAUAAAUAAUUACUUACUAGACUCGAAUAGCUCCGGAUAUUUCUGUCGCAUGGGAUCCUCCAAUUCUCAUGUGCCCUCCCGCUCUGAUUGAUUAGUCCAUAGGACCUUCACAUACUUGAUAGUCCUAUUCCGCAUGACACGCUGAGAGGAAUCUGAUGACACUCAAUAGUCAAAUCCUACUCAAUAAUCACUAGCUCGGCCUCCAUCUUCUGCUCUUGAUCUUUCAAAUACUUCCUCAACAGAGAUACAUGAAACACAAUAGGAUGCACACCACUCAUCGACUCUGGCAACUGCAAAAUCGAACAAUGCCUUUCAUUGGUGACACCUUGAGAAGAACCUCGUCACCAACCGCAAACUCCAUAUCGUUCCGUCUGAUAUCUGCAUAGCUCUUCUGUCGACUCUAAGGAGCCAACAAGUUCUAACAAAUCUCACGUACCUUAUCAUGAGUCUGUUGUACCCAGUCCAGGCCAACAAAAGAUCUCUCACCAAUGAUGUCCCAACAGAGUGGGGAAAUACACUUGCGGUCAUACAACGCUUCAUAUGGAGCCAUCUUGAUGCUAGCUUGAUAACUUUUAUUACAAGAAAACUCUGCCAACGGCAAGUGAUCCUCUCAACUUCCCUUCCAAGAGAGCACACAAGAAUGCAACGAGUCCUCUAAGGUCUGAAUGGUACGCUCCGAUUCAUCGUCUAUCUGAGGGUGAAAAGCAGUGCUAAGAUCCAAUCCAGUACCCAAAGCACUAUACAAACUCGUCAAAAAUUACAUACAAAUUUGGAAUCACAAUCAAGAACAAUGGACUUAGCACACCAUGCAACCUCACCACUUCCUUGAUAUAUAAUGGAACCAAAUCUGAAGCAGAGUUAGUAGUCUUCAUGGGAAUAAAAUGGGCAACCUUCGUCAAACUAUCAAUUACCACUCAAAUAACAUCUUUACCUCUUAGGGGAAUGAGGUAUACCAACCACAAAAUCCAUGGUAAUAUUCUCCCAUUUCCACAUAGGAAUCUCCAAUGGUUUAAGUAAUCUAGAAGGCCUUUGAUGCUCAGCGUUCACCUUCUGACAAAUGCCACACGAAGCCACAUAAUUAGCAAUAUCAACCUUCAUCCACAUCCAACAGAAACUCUGCUUCAAGUCUCGGUACAUAUUAGUCUCACCUGGAUGUAGCGUAUAUGGAGUACGAUGAACUUCUCUCAAAAUCUCCAUGUUUACUACAACUUUCUAUGGCACACAAAGAUGACCUCUGAAAUAAAGAGUACCAUCCUCCUCUAUACUAAACUUGUAGGGUUUCCCUAGCUCAAUAUGCUUACGAACAGCAUGAAGCAGGCGAUCUUGCAAUUGUGUCACACGUACCCGCUCAUGCAACGGCGACUGAAUCAACAACUGAGUCUCCUCACGGCAAUACCAACAUAGCACAGAGAAAUAUCAAUGUUGUCCGAUUCACCAAUCAAAGGCAUACAAAUCUUAGGAACACCAGUUCUCUUGCUAAACGCAUCUGCAACAACAUUCACCUUGCCAGGGUGAUACUGAAUAGUCAAAUCAUAAUCCUUAAUCAACUCAAGCCAUUUUCUCUAUCCCAAGUUAACUAAUUCUGAAUGAGAAUACACUUUGGUUCGAUGAUCCACAAAGAUGUCACACGAUUUGCCAUACAGAUAAUGCCUCUAAAUCUCCAAUGCCAAAAUCAAGUACAGCAGACUCUAGCUCUUGGGUAGGAUAAAUUUCUUUCCUAUUUCUUCAAAUAUCAUAAUGCAUAAGCCAUUGCUUUUUCCAACUUGGAUGAGCUCACAAUAAAGACCAAACGGGAAGUAUCUACAUACGCAACAAAAGCACUUACCACUACGAGGAAAAAUAAAAAUAUAGGCACUAAUCACAUUCAACUUUAGAGUGUGAAAAUUUGACUCAUGAUCAUCCACUUAAGAGGAACAUCCUUAUUAUACUAAUAUAUCCAUGGCUGGGCACGAGUUGAAAAUGCUAUGCCAAGUACUAUUGAAAAAGGUGGAGAACUCGAUUCUAUAGUUUCUAAUGUAAUUCUUGGUCACACAGAACCUCCACUUGUAACUAGUUUGGUAGGCCUUGAACACAUUAUUGCCAAACUUUGGUAACAUCUUCUAUAAGAUAAUUCACCACUCAUAACCUUGAUCGCAAAAGACCAACCACCACAAAGAGAUCAAAACUACACUAUAAUAAAGCAUGAGUGCAAAACAUCUCCAAAACACACCAAUCACUACAUGAACCAAGCUCUAGGGAGAUUGUCUUGAAAACUCAAAUCUUGACUUUUUGGAAAAAUGGCUGAAUGAUCAAACUUCCUUCACACUUUUCCAAAACCGAAUUCAACUACAAAUCUCAAAGUACUUCAUGGGAUAGUAGCAGCGAGAUGCCACUACAAGAACUGUACCCACUCUACAACUAAAACAAACUUAUAUAAGAACAAUAGCUUCAUUUCCUCAGCUCUUCUCGAUAUCCAAGAACAAUUGCAAAGGAAGGAAAGGAUCCUAGUUUAAUAACCAUGAAGGAUUACAAUCGUUGCACCACUAUAGCACCUCCGGCAUCUAAGCCAUGACACGUGUUGACGUCGGAUUUUGACACGUAUUUUUAAUCGGCGUUAAGGAAGGAGAAGAUUGGCCGAUACGGCGAGCUAAAAGCUACAGUUGGGAUUUGGCCAACUAGAGCUACAGUGUUUUGGCUGAUUGGCAAAAGGAGUCAGCAAGGAUUGGCCGAUUGGGAGCUGGGGCAACUUGGCCAGUAUGGGCCUAGAGUGGGCCGGAGAAAAGAUUAGCUAAAAAAGAAAGUUGGCCCGUGAGAUAUGAUAACCAACUCCGAUACGAGUUGUGUUUGUAAAUCUUUAUUGUUAUUCAAAAUUAGAGAUAGAUCCUAGUCGGUUAGGAAAUCAGUUGUAACAGGCUAUAAAUAGCCACCUCUUGAGGAUUUGUAAGACACAUAUCAAUCAAUACAACAAAUCUACUUAUUCCUCGCACUUUACUUUCAAGUCGGCGACUUCGCCAAAAACCUUUUCUUUUCACGAGUUCGUACGGGUUGGCAGGGCUGCAUCGACACGAUCUCCGGCCGAUUUGUAAGUUCCGUUUAUCGAGUAAUAUCUAAGCUUUAACUUCGGGUGCAUCGUUGUCGUUUCGUUUAGAUUUAUUCACCAGUUAUCGAUAUUUACUAGAAUUAUAGGUUUUAUCUAUUGUUCUAGUUUUAUCACCAGUUAUCCAGCUUGAGAUUCGAACUGUCGGCCUCAUCACUGUUAUUCUUAUUUAUCGCCAUAUAGCCGAUUAGAUCUGUUUCAAGUGUUGCAUUUGUAGCGUUAUUUAAUUUAUUCUAGUAAUUUCUUUGCAAUCGCUACGUGAUCAUCGGCUGCUCUAUAGCCGGUCAUCUCUACAGUAAAUCGGCCGAUUUGCUGAUACACUUUUCGAGACAGAUCGGAACUUUAGCUUAUCGAAACCCCUAGAAUUUAAUACUUUUCUUCCCUUGUCAAUCAAUAGGUCAGAUUGACUGGCACGUCGUGCGAACCGCACCAGAGCAAUAACCCAAACAGCAGUUAAGCAGAUUCUCCCGGGUUGUGUGUCCGAUGCUGAGGGUCAUCGGCCGAUUUUCAGCGCCAACAACACGUUAGACAUUCUAACAAUUGAGGCUCAGUCAAAGGAGAAGAAAAAACAUUGCGUCAUCUUGCACUAGCUCUAUAUAUUUACACCGACAUAGAACUGCAUCCUAACACCACUUUUUGUUGACUUCAAGUAAGAUCUAAAUGGUGCUCACCACCAAGGGUAGGUGAAUUAACUUUAUAUGUCUCCAAAUAAAUCAAAAUUAUGCUAAACUUGGUAGGCUUGCCAAGAGAGCAUGACGAUGCUCACUAAGAUCAAUCUCUCAACAUUGAAUUUGUCCUUCGGGAACGAACGUAUAAAAACUUCAAGCUUUAGCGCUCACGAACGGAUCAUGACACCGUAUUAAAUUGAUCACAUUCCAUUUGUAUUUCUCAAAUGCUUCAUAUCACCAUGACUCGGUAUGAUUAUCAAACUCCCGUUGCUGAACACAAUGAACCACUCCGCUAUGAAAAAAAAUAAAAUGUAACCUUUAAGGCCACUGUAACCAUAAAACAAAAAUAACCACACAGCCUAUACGCUUUGAAGCAAGGCAAUUCUAGCAUCCAAACCAACACCUCAAACUGUAGCGCUAAGGCCCAAACAGCAAGUAAUUACUCUCGUGGAACCUCUUGAAAAUCCUUUCAGGUCCUAUUCUCAUCACAUCUCUAGGACAAGCUAAAGAUGACCACUACUCUAUAGGGAAAGAAUGUAAACCAGAGGUCAAGCCGAAACGUCGCCACUCCACUACAUGGGACAAGGCACACAGCGACCCGCCCAUCUGAUAAGUCGAGAGACAAUAGUUAGGGUGCAUGGUAUGGUAGCCAAUCCAUCCGUCAUUCAACUAUUUCCUCCUUAUAUAGAUAGUUGGGACAACCCUAACACUCAGGCAACCUCACUUAGCAAAGCAGAUAAGGCGUUGUAGGGGCCCUCUACUUGACCCAUCUUCACUGCUAAACUAUACUUUGUCUACAAGUUUUCAAACUUCUUAGGAUCUCCGAUAAACUGCAACAACCUACCUAAGCAAAGGUAUUUAAGAUAUGACAACGAGAAACAUAAAACUAUACUGGUAAAAACAACAAGGUGAGGAAAAAACCCAACUCUCAACCUAUAAGUACAAGUGUGUCAAGUUUUAAGGUGAGUCAAAUUAAGCCUAGAACAUAUAACCUUAAGCUCUGAUUACCAACUGUAGUACCCUAGAACAUUAGCAACAUUCUAGAGCGUUACCAUACUACACUACAGCUAUUACAGGCACACACAUAAGAGCCAUCAACAAAGAUAAAAGAACAGGGCACGCAGAAGCAACUUAAAUCAUCUAGAUAAACAUCUAAAAAACUAGAUAAAAAGAUAUUAUAAGCUAAGCAAAGGCUUCACAACCAAAAUUUUUUAUUACAACAUAUGUGUCCAAUAUAUAUAUAUGAAGAGGUGUAUGCACACGUGCUGCUACUCCCAUCCAACCAGGCACCCUCCAAACUCAAGAACCUGCGAAGGGCAAAAAAGCGUACGAGGUUUAUGGAAAACCUCAGCAAGCAAACUGCGUCAACCAAGUCAUUUAAACCAUAAUAUAUUAAACAACAAUUUAAGAAUUAUUGUUAUAAAAGGAGCACCACAUCACUUCGAGUAGUAAGAUAAAUAAAUACUUCACAACAAUUCUUCAUAAUGAAUAUGAAAAUGGUGCAAUGCAAUGCAUGACUUCACUUCUACCCACACAUCCCCAAGGAAGGACGUGAGGGCUGGAACCACAUUGCUAUACCUCAACGUGCGUUUUUGUACGGUACAUACCGUAGCAAUCUAGCUACGGUUUCUUCAUAUGCAUAAACAAUAUGAGAAUGCAAAUGCAAGAUUGCAAUGCAUGAACUUCAUAUACUUCAAAUUCAUAUCAUCAAAAGUGAAGCCUCAAGUGGAACAAUGUAUGUGUUGAAAACAGCGAUGAGGGCAAAAAUUCUCCCUAGCCCUUAACGGCGUCAAAUACCGCUACACACACAUGCUAGAACAUCUGAAACCUUAGGGAAAACAUGUGUUGCAGCAGGGACAUGCCUCACCUAGGGUUUCCCCUUAAAAACAGCAAGGGCAACGUGUAACAACUCUACCUAAAUUAAGUGCUUUUAACUCUAAACCAGUGAUAAAUCCUGAAGUUAAGAAGUGAGAUGACCUUUAUAAACCUAAGAAGCUCUUUUUUUUGGAGUUCGAAUUUAAAGCUUGAAAUUCUAUAUACAAACUUAAGUUUCUGCCCAAAUAAGAGUUAUAAAACUUUUAAAUUCCAACAACUUGUGUUAAAGGCACCUUGACUAAUUCGGAGUGGAAAGGAGUCAAAAAUAGCAACCAAAGCCGGCUUUCUUGCAGGACCUUGAAAAUCUCUUAAGUCCCGGAAUUCGAGUUUUCCUCCAUCUUUGCAAGCUUUCAUCUCCCGUUUUCCUAUCUAAACUUGAGUCAGAGCCUUAAUAGAAGUUGUAGUACCUCAAGAGUGUUCCAACUUUGUUACACUAACCCAGAUCCAAAUCGGACCCGAGCUUGUUCAAAAUCCCGGUCAAAGUGAGGUAAACCAGUCAACUCACCCCGGAUGCUUAAAAAUCCUAGGUCUGGAAUCCCAGAUUUUUGGCUAACUUUGGCCGGAAAUAUCUUUGAAUCCUCUCACAAUCAAAACCGGCACCUUAAACAAAGUUUGAAGAACGAUCAGAGUUGGGCAAGUUUGUUUAAGGGAGUUUCGGGAGUUGUGUUGAAAGAUUCGGAGAAGGAUCGCUCCAAAGCUGGUCGGGCUUGUUGCCCGAAGGGAGCCUCGACGCCCGCGUGCCCGAGCAUGUUCGCUCGCGCGCCGCGUGGCCGCCGGCCACCGGCAGCUCGCCGGCGCCCUAUCACCAGCGCGAUAGCGACAGGACGAGAGCCACGGCACCCAACCCGCGCCCGCGACAGGACGGAGCGAGAGCAGGGCAAGCCAAUCGCCGGCCGCGCGCAGGUCGCCUUCCGCUUGCCACGGCUCUGCUCCGCCCACCCUGUUCCGCCCAUUCACCGAGAAACCUGAGAUGCCCCUGACGUCCCGUGUCUCCGCCCGCUCGCCCAACCCCCACGGUAGCCUUUCCGCCUCACCCGCCCGACAGACCGGAAGCCCCAGACGCACGCCGCCCAAGGCCAAUCGCCGCCGAAGACCACCUGGAGCUCCGCCUCCUCUGCCCAAUGGCGUCGUCGGCCAAUGGCUGCCUCGCCCGAGCACUCGCCGCUCCCGGCCUUAUCCUUUCCCCACCGGAGCCCCGCCUCGACCCUCCGCGCCACCCCGGCCCUAUAAAACGGAACCCCCUCACCGGCAAUGCCACCCCUUGCCACCGCCCGCACCUGCGCCGCCGCUUUCUCCUCUGAGCCACCGCUAAGCUUCCGUGGAACUCACCCCCUUGCGCCACCCCCACACUCCGGCGACUUCGCCGCCACCCUCAAGCUGCUUCUUCCAACACACCAGCCGCCCGCUCCUCCGCGCGGUACUAGAGCUUGCUUGUGUCCACCAGAAGCACCGCCACCGCCGGACCACCGUCGAAGUCUCGCCGCCGCCCAAGCCUUUGUGCGUACAACCUUCCGCCCCAGCCUACUCCUUUUCGACCCCAAGGCUUCACCGGUCGACCUGGAGGUAAGCUGCUUAAACUUUUGUUUCGGUUCGUCCGACUCCUUUGUUUCGGUUCGCCCGACCUCUUUUCUUUUCGUCUCGCCCGACCUUUUCCUGUUGGCCUCGCCCGACCCUGCCAAGUUCGCCGACCCUUUCUCCGCCUCGCCCGAGGGCUCGGUUGUAACUUUUUCUUUGACCCGAGGGUAUCGGUGAAAUGUUUUCGGGGAUUCCUCUGUGUUGAGUCUGAGGACCUUGGUAUGGUUUAUCUUAAACCUGAGGGUCAGACCCUAAGUUUUCCCCAAUCCGACCCUCUCAUCCUGCUCUCCACCAAUAGAAGUUGAACUCCCCCACCUUCUCUGUAGCUUUGCUACAAGUGUCCGUGUUAAAACAUGAGUGUGUUGGAAUAACCAUCUAAAUUGUUUAACCCCUGCAUUGCAUUUCCGUGUAGAGUUGAAUCUCGCCGACGGAACGUACGAGCUUCAUCCAGCACCGGAAGAAGACCCCGCUAAGGAACUGCUCCCCUUCGAAGGAGAGCCCGAACCAGCGCAAGACCCCGAGGACCCGUAAGCUUUUUCUGAAGGCAAGCCCCGGUGCCUGAACUCCCUGUUUUGCUUUCAUGCCACUUAUUGAUUACUUGAUUGCGCAUUUACGUUUCGAGGAGUUGUAAUGGAACCUUAGAUGCAUAACUUAGUACCUUGUUUUUGAAUACUAGUUGCUAAGGCCGAGUAGUUGCAUUGCUUAAUAGGUUUCGGUAAAAGUCGAGUGAUCUCCUGUCACUCGCGAGUUAUAGGAGAUGAAUGUUUCAGAGUUGUCGCAACUAUAAGGAUGACGGACGGGGUCAGGCUAGUGUUCAAUGCUUGGUGGAUUGCCCCGUCUGUCUAAAUGAAAAUGAACUAAGGUCGAAACGUGUCGGUGUUCGUGAUCAAGUGAUUGAAAGUACUAAUCUCAUACCUAGUAUGGGAUGGGAAAGCCUAGUACCUGAUUGAACUGGGGCGUGGCAUACCUUCCGGCUGUCCUUGGAACGUCGUUCCCAUGGUGCAUCAUGUGGGUGCAAGUGCGGUCACAGUGCAGCAAUAGGCCGAGACUGUGGAGCAUUGCAUGCCAAAGGAAGUUGGCCCUGACACGUACCUAAGGGAUCGAUGGGGACGGCUGACAAAUGAAGCGACCCUUCGUGGUGCGCGGAUGUCGUGAGAUUAGGUUUGCCAUGCAUGGUUAAUAAAUUCGAAUCGAUUCGUCUGGCUCUCACAGUUUGGGACUACUUGAUCGGUAUUCUGCACUGAGUAAAGAUGGAACAUGAUGAUGAUUUUAAUCUUGAUGUUUGUUAAGUAAUUGCCUGGAAACCAUGUUUGUUCAGUAUAAGUUGCUAAUCUAGAAUGGAUAAAGAACAUAGAACAUGAGUUAAAAUGUUGAAAGUAAGGACUGACUUUAGAUGCUUUUGGCAAGAAAACCCCAGAGCCAGAAAGCCUUGCAUGUCUAGGUCUCGGUCGUGUCUUUCCGAUGGGUCAGUCUUGCUGAGUACUAGUUGCUCAGCCUUGUUGUGGCUAAUCUUUUUCAGGUUUUGCCAAUAGCUUGGGUGUUGGUACCACUUGUCCGACCCAGCUUCCUCCAGGCUGGACCGUCGAGUGGGAUCCUUCCUCGGAUGGCGAAGGAAGGAGUUUUUGAUGUCAUGAUCGGCUCCGUCAUGAUGUCCUGUGUCGACGUUUAAGCUUCCGCUAGUUUUCCUUUGACUUCGAACCAUGCAAAAUUUUGGUUUGAAUUUUCCAAAAAGUCUGAUGUAAUAAAUUAUUACUAUGUUGUCAUGAUGGAAUGUUGUAAUCUCUGUGCUACUCACCUUCGCGUGAGCGAUGCUUCUCGAUCCUGUUGUGUGGUUUAUCGGAGGAAAUCCGACGGUCGACCAAGUUGACUUGCUUAAAGGGCAUAAUCGCGUGUCAGGCGACUUCAAUGCAUUUUAGUCAGGUUAAUUUGAGCGGUUCCGCCACACAACGGCGACGGCAGCGAUCCCGACGAUGAUUCCCAGUCGUUUUCCUCUUCCUAGCGACGAACGUCACGGCAGCCCUGUCGAUUGCACCUAAAUUGCAACCUACAUAGCGGCACCACCAUGCACAGUGAGGAAAGGCAACUAAUUGGGGAGAAACUGGGAGAGGAAAGGAAGCCCAACCAAUUUUUGGAGAGGAAAGGAGAUGACAGACGGUGGCGUACCCUAAUUUGUCUUCUCUUCUCUCUUCUCUUGUUCUUCCUCUCCACUUUGGAUCACGGCAAAAGGGAGUAAUCAAUACUUUCUUUUCCUCCUAUACAUUUGGUUUUAUUAGAAAUAUAUUGUUCUAUCGAUUAGUAUAUAUACUUGUCAGACUAUUCUUUAAUGCUUCUGGUCAGAGGCAAUCCGUCCGUUUCUUGAUCCUGAGUCCGCUAUCAGCUCUUCUUUGAAUCCGGCAACAACAUGUGGUAAAAAGUCAAACUCGUACUAGAACGCAACGAAAUCGCAAACCUUUCUCGGCAUUCUCGCGAGCAUUUCACCUCCUUGUGCUAACCAAAAUGUGACUCCUACUGGUUUAAUAAUUUCUGUAUAGGCAGCACCGUGGUCGGCUACAAACUCAACCAGAACACCACUUAUGAAUAAGAGAGAUGGAAAAAAGAGAGAAAGUGACAGAGAAAAGGAAAUCAGAGAAGAUAAAUAAAGUGAACAGCCUGUGUAUUCAGCGAUUACUAGAUCCAGCCCACUUCAAAAUCUCCUGUGGGCAUGGCAUUUCCACAUACACAGUUCCAUAUGCUAACUGCCUCUAGAAAUGUUUCCACAAAAUCAAUAAAAAUGACUUAUCCGUUUAGGAUUUAAUAAUGGUUGGAACAAAAGCCGUGUGGAACCAAGUACCUAGAGAAAUCGUACGGUGGAAGAAAGGAGGUAUAUCUAGAGAAAAGUACAAACAUAUUCCAAACUGGUGGAACCAAGUACUAAAAAUAAUAGUGGGACCAUCACCCAAUUUAAGUUGAUUUUUUAAUUACCUUCCUAAGAUCAAUGGCUAGUAAAAUUUCAAGAAAACGUAUUUAGAAAGUACACACUGGUACCUUACGACCAUUGUAAGAAAACUCUUUUGCUUAUAUUGAGUUUUGCAAACAAAAAUUGUUAAAGGAUAUAUCAUUCUAUAUAGAUUUAACUAUAUUUAUAACAAAAUAUACACAGCUAGAACACGAGGUUAGUUAUGUUAAAUAGAUUAUAAAAUGUGGUUUCAUAAUGUGUUCAUUUGAUAUUAUUUUAAUGUGCAUUUUGUAACGUGUCGACGUAGCGCCAACUUCUUUCUAUUCUUGGAUACCCAUGCAUACUCUGGAUAUGUACCACUGGUGCUCUUGGCUAGCUCGCAGAGACGCACAAAGACGUUAAAGAGCGUGAGUCACGACUUUGUCUCAUCUCUGAAAGCCUAGACCAUCGAAGAUUGACCUUGCUUCUUUGCUGGUCCUCCAGCCAUCGUGUAUCAUGCUAUUUUUUUCUUAUUAUAUAAACCAAUAUUCCGGUCAUCCAUGAGGAUUGCGUAAGGUAACCCUUGUACCAAAUUAUGAAAUUAAAGGUAUUGUGCAUCAAGGUAUGAAAUAUCUCACUGUGUCACAAAGAAAAAAACUUGUGUCUUCUAAUGCAAUCUAUAUGGCAUUUCACUACUACAAAAAAUAUUUUUAGCGGCGGUUGAAACCACAAUUUCAAAGGUGGAUCUAGCAACCGCCCUUCUUUUUGCAGCUUAAAAUAGGUAAUUUGCAGCGUCGGUUGUUGAAUUUGUGUAUGAAGUAAUAAUGGAAUUUAAUUUAGUUUGUGAAUGUGUUGCCACAACAACUCGUACAAUGUUGCAUCAUAUUAAUUCUAGCUUAUGCAAUGAUUCUUUCUUUCAGCAUCCUUCUCUCUUCCAGGUUAUCAAGCAUCAUAUAUGGCAGUGUAUCAGACAACUUAUGAGUCAGCAACUUGUACCAACGUGCUUGCUCUUGUAUCAUGAAGGACUCCAAUGAUAUGAAGAGCCUAUGCUGAGGACAACAUAGGAUCGUGUAUCAUGCUUUGUGCCAGUUGUUCGUUUGCAACUAUUAUUUGUCUGUACGUAUCAUGGACCAAACGACGAGUCACUAUCUUUUGCUUUCUGUACAUGCAUGGCACGUCAGUGAAGCAUUGCCUUCUGCUUUUGGAUAGCCGCACUACAUAGUUUGGAUAAGUAGCUUGUGGCCUUUGUAACGACUUGAUAUGUUCUUGGGAAGCCUCUCGCCGGCUCGCCGUCCAAGUCUUCAAGAGGCUGGUAUAACCUCUUGGCUGCGAUCAAUCAUGUAUCACGCCAUCUCCUGUUGUUUAGAUGAAAACCAACAUUCCAUGCAUGCAUUGAAAUAAAGGCACCAAGUGCUGCGUCAAUCAACGGUUGUUUGAAUGAUGUUCUCCAGAAAUACUUUUUAAAAGUGUAUGGUUUUUCUCUCCAGCUAUUAUCCAGUACAGUAGUAGCCAAUCCGUUCCUGAAAAUAGUAGCCAAUCUGUUCCCGAAAAUCAAUUUCUAGGUAUACCAAGGAGUGUGUAGGUGGUGGUGCCACGUUUUUUUUAAAAACUUUUAUCAUUGAUUUCUAGGUCUGGGUAACCACGUCAACCACCUUUCGAACUGCUAUUUUCAGGAGCAGGCUCAUUCUAUGGCCUGCCCCUAGAAAUGCAUUUACAAGGGGCAGGUCAUACCACGCUCCUCCAUAAUGCACGAACGGGCUUUGCACCUGCUCUUAAAGAUACGUUUUCGACUGGUCCUAGAAAAUAUUUCCAUAGCGGUGGUUCUUUUGCAUUUCACGUGUUUUCACCAAAAAAUAUUUUUGAAAUCCUCAUCAAAAAUAUAUUUACUAGCAAUAUUGUUUUUGCUGCUAGAUAAUUGUUGUAAAUAUGGCACAUAUAAUGGUUAAAAUGUGAGUCUAAGUUGAAUGAGGUAAAGUGAAGGAUCACAAAAAUCCACUGGCAAGCCAUUUGUAGUUCUCAUGCUUCAAUGUUGUCUUAUGGUGAAUCCUAUACAUUACCGCAUAACUUGUGAUAAUUUAAAGAGUGAAUUCCCUCAAUGUCAUUAGAAUUUUUAUGGAUUCCUUCAAUGCUAUUAAAAUUUUUCACUUCCUUUCACCGGCACUAUUAUAAAUUUCCACGCCAUUUGCCACUAUAUUGCCACUAUUCUAAAAAUUUAAAACUCCUACGUCAUAUUGCAUUAGGCUGCUGACGUAUAUUAAGGUAUGAAUCUCCCGAAGGAGAUGGAGAGCCUGUGCUGAGAUGAGUAUCAUACUUUGUGUCUGUUUUUCAUUUCCACGCUACUUGCCACUAUUUGUCCAUAUCGAAGGACUAAACAGCGUGGCACUAUCUUUUGCUUUGUGCACAUGCCACGUUGACGAAGCAUCACGUACCUUCUGCUUUUGGAUAGCAGCUACUUAUUCUCGAUAAGCAACUUGUGGCCGGUAUAGACUCCAUAUGUAAUCGCUAGCUAGGGUUCAAACGGCAAACGGCAACACCAACUAAUUUUUUUGAAAACAUUAGCAGGAGUUAUGCCUAUUCAUUUAAGUAGAAGAGAAUGUUCUGAUGGGGGUUGCAACAACUUUUGGUACGUGACUACCUAGAUAGUACAACGAACCAUAACAUAACUUUGUCUAAGCCCUCAGCAUAAGAGUUGUUGGCAUGCCGCCUGGCUAUGCCGUCCUGUAUCACAUCAUCUCCUGUUUUCAUCUGACUUAUGUAAAAGAUGCUCUCUUUUUUAAUUCAACUAUGGUUGACCCUACUAUUAGUAGAUCCAGCCCACUUAAAGAACCUCAUGUGGACAUGGCAUUUCCACGCGCAGUGCAUGCGGGAGCUGUCUCCAGAAAUAGUUCCACAAAAUCCAUAAAAAAAUAUCGUAUUCUUCUGAUUAUAAUGAGAUUUGUGAAGAAAUUUUUGAAAAGGAUAUAUCAUGAACAUGCCCAUCACUAGUAACACAGGUACUUUCCUCUAUACUGAAAUAUAUAGCUUUGUCCGAAGUUAAAAUACAUUCUAUUUCCCUUUUCAUAGUAUAAACCAAUAUUCCCGUCAUCCAUGCAUUCUUGAAUGCGUCAGUUUCGUUUCCAGAGCCUCCAUGGGGUAACCCUUGUACCAAAGACUAUUCGGUAUUCUUGUACAGGCGCACAAAAGACAUCAAGGAGCGUGAAUCACGACUUUGUCUCAUUUCUGAAAGCCCUCGCUCGGAGAUGCACGAAGACACCAAGAACCUUGAAUAUGAUGAUUCUUGGUAAAAUAAAUCAGCUGGGGUUUGUUCUUGUUUAUCUUUUGCGAGCCUGACACCAAUUGCCGUGAAUCACGAUUUUAUCUCAUCUUUGAAAGACCUCACCAUAUAUAAGAGGUGGACCUUGCUGGUGCUCCAGCAGUCCAACCAUGCUGUAUCAUCACGCUAUUUCCUUUUUCUUAGCAAACCAAUAUUCAAGUUUUGUGGAGAGCCUUCAUGUGUUAAACCAUGUACAUCACAUUAUCACAAAGACGCAUGCACAUCAAAGUUUUGAAUAUGUCAAGAAAAAUUCCUUAUGUCGACCUCUCAUGCAAUGGAUACGACAUUAUACAAAAACAUAGAAAUUAAAGCUAGCUAGGUUAAUUAAUAAGAUUUAAGUAGCCAAAGAAUAUCAUGAAUUUCUGUACCUUUUCUCCGGCAUCCAACAUACAUGUAAAUAUAUACUUAUGUUCUACACUACUGUAGAACAACUUAUCCAUGUGACUAUGUCAUCCAAUAAUAUCCAUGCAGUCCAAAGUCCAAUGUUACCUAUGGGUCAUCUGGGUCAACCGGCAGCCGCGUAGGGCCCGGGGCUCGAAUACACCAACCAAAGUCCAACUUUACCUAUGGAACAUCAUUCAAACUUCAUUAUCAUGAUCAAUACCUACCAGCAUAUAGUGAUGGGAGUUGAGCAUGAUAUACGGUGGAUUCCACGGAGUGACAGGAGUAUUCAAAAAAUUUCAAAAAAAUAUGAGUAGAAUAGAAGGUUUUGAGUUUCCUACUGCUUGUUGUUUGACCUAUAUGGUUCUAUUAAUUCAUUUAUUGCUCUAAUACCAUCCCUGUGGGGACUUCCCUUCGGAAAUCCCGCUGAUUACCUAUAUCAGUCCCCGGAUCGGUAGCUGAUACAGCCCUCAUCACAGAUUAGCAGCAAAACAAUAAAAGACGCAUAAAGUUAUGGAAAAAUAGUUUUUCAAUUUGCAUAGCGGGGUGGUGCAGUUGCCCACUCCACAGCCAGAAUGAAUCUGGAACUUCUAACCUAUUCGACAGAAGCAAGGCUGAGUAUACUUAUGGUUUGUAAUCCUAGCAUUAAAAUUAUAUAAAAUGCAUAUAUGAUCAAGGAAAGGAAGAGGAGGUUUGGUUUUAUCAAGAGACUCAUUUUAUGUAAGGUGAUGUGAGUUUUGGGAAAGGAAAAGAAAGAAAGCCCUUUUACGAAGUUGUUGGCCCCGGAGGGGGAAUGCAUGACGGCCGACAAGGAUAGGGCGGUCGGAGGUGAUGCAUGGCGAGGGCGAGGGGGGAAGUACGGCAAGGAUAAGGGAGGAGGGGGGGGAUGGGGCUGCCUUGCUUGGGGUGAAGGUGGCCAAGGGGAGCCGCACCGGCGGGGCGGCGCUGGGCGCGGCAACACUGGCGAGCGGGCGCAGGCCACGCAUUAGCGGGCUGUGGCGGAGGGCGCCAGUGCGAGCGGGCCGUGUGUGCGUGCUGGGUUGACUCGGGCAUGGGAGGUAGCGGAGGUGAGCAGGGCCGAAAUGGGGAGUGGCCGAAACGGAGGUUGCGGCCCAUUCGACAUUCUGGUUUGGUUUUUCAUUUUUUUGAGAAUAGGUUUGAAUCCAAAUUUUAAAUGGAUUUCAAAUUUAAAUGAAAUUUGAGUUGCAGACUAGGAUUAGACAUGAAAUUAGGGCUUUUUCGAAGAGUUUGAGGUUUAAUGAUAUUUGAGUAUGGCUAGAUUUGAAUAGAGGCAUCGUAGAGGUUUGGAUGAAAUUAAUAUUCAAAUUAAAUUGGAUAUCACUUCUAGGAUUUUAGGAAAAUAAAUAUUAUUCCUAGGAUAUUAGGGAUUUAAAUAAUCUGAUGAUGAGAGGGGUUUGGCAUAGACUCAAGGAUUUGCAUAUUGGAUUUAGAUAAUAUUUAGAUGGAAUUCGGCAUAGGGUCUGGAUGGAGUUAAUAUUUGAAUGAAAUGCAAAUAUUCUUCCCAAGGUUUCUGGAAAGAGAAGUUUAUCGAGAAAAUACUUCUAGGAUUGGAGAGAAAAGAGUGUUCACGAAGAGUUCCAAGGGCACCCAAAUGCAACACACAUGAUGGUAAUUAAUGCAAGAUUUACUUAUAAAAAGGUUUUGAAUAUUUGGGGAAAAUUAUGUUUAGUUUAUAGUAAAGGUUAUUUGUUGUCGGUGUCGCAGCAUAUAUACAUUUGCAGUCACUAUGACUGCAUUAUGUAUAGCUGCAAGAUAAAUGUGUAAGUGUGUGUGCUAUAAUUGUAUGGCUUUAAUUUAACAUUUAUGCAUCCAUACCACAGUAUAUGUAUUUGUCAACCACAAUAAUAAUAUAAUAUCGGUGUACUACAUCUCCUGUCUUCAAUUUGCUUAUUUACUUUUGAUGCUUCUAGGGUUUUUCCAUUAUACACUAACUUAUCUAUAGCUAGCCAUAUAACUGGAACAUACCAUAUAAAGUCCAAACCAUCGACAACUGGAACAUGCCAUAUAAGCCCUCCUUUCGUGCCUCGUGCCGCUCCCACUCUAGACUUUUAGGCACGUUGGGCCAUGACGACACGGAAUGACAAUAAGUUUUUUCCUAGGCCCAUGCACGACCCAUGGCAUGGUGGCAUGGCUCUCAGAAUAUAUGAUGCUACCAUUCGUCUUCUCACGUAUAUAGUUUCUAAAUUAGUAGAGGGAUUGAACUUGGAUAUAUAGAUUGUGGCUAUUGUAAUGACUUGAUAUAUUCUUGGAAAGCCCUCGCCGUCCUAGAGGCUGGCAAGACUGCUUGGCUGCCAGCACUCGUGUAUCACGCCAUCUCCUAUUUUUUAGUGCAAACCAACAUACCUGUAAAAUACUAAUGUUCUACACUACGGUAGAACAACUCAUCUACGGAUUGAACAUGGAUAUAUGACAUUGUAGGUUGAUGUUAGGAUUGCCCGUGGUGGGGAGGCUGCAAAAUUUAAGAUUUUAUAAAUAUUUAUUUGUAUGAUUCUAAUCAUGAAAGGUAGAUUUUAUGAUUUUCUUAUGUGAACAUUGUUUAUGCCAAGCUUUAUGGAAGGCGGCAUGGACGAUUUUCAAAGGACCAGCUGUAGAUUAGCUGAUGGGCUAUUUUUGUGCCAUCCUAGUCCAAGCACAGCUGAGAUACCAUACGUGUCUGUGCUGUGCUGCCCAUCAUGCUGAGGUUCUUGGCAUGGCACGGCUCUUGUGUUUGUGUCGUGCUAGCACGUCCCAAAAUUUAUCGUGUCGUACCGUAAUUUGGCUAUGCCAAAAUAUCAUGUUUCAGUUGGUCCAUAAAUAACACGGACCAGGUCACAGCUGAAAUUUUAGCCAUACCCUUGUUAUUUGUGAAUAGGAAAUGUUGGUUCUCAGUAAAUUGCUCUGACGAUUACUUCUUCCAUCUGGAAAAAAUAAGUGUGUACUUUAUUCCAAAACUACAGGUGGUCCAGUCCUCGUGAUGUCUGUCGUUAAGCAAUUGCCUAUUCUUCAAGCUUGCACAGACGCACAAUGACACUAAGGUGCGUGAAUCACGACUUUGCCUCGUCUUUGAAAGCCCUCGCAAUUAGAUCGACCUUUAUUGCUGCUCGCUGUUGAUGCACAAAGCUAGACACCAAGAACCUUAAAUAUGGCGAUUUUUGGUAAAAUAUAUCAGAUGCUGUUUGUUCUUUCCUACCUUUCGCGCGAGCUUGACAACAAGUGCCGUGAAUCACGACUUUGUCCAUCUUUGAAAGACCUCACCAUCAGGGAUGGACCUUGCUGGUACCUGUUCCACCAGACGUCCUGUAUCAGGCUAUCUCCUUUUUCUUUGCAAACCAAUAUUCCCUGCAUGCAUGGAUGACGGAUGCUUAAAGACACAGAGUGCGUGCGUGAAAAUCGUUUUGUGGAUCCUACACGAGCUAAACCUUGUACAGCAUAUUAACAUAAAGACUAUGUUAUGCAUCAAUGUUUUGAAUAUCUCACUAUCUAUGAUAGGAAGAAAAACUCCUUAAAAGACAUUAUAUGAAAACAUUGAAGCUGGGUUAAGUAAAUAAGAUUUAACUAGCCAAAGAACACUUUGAAUUCCUGUACCUUUUUUCCCGGCAUCCAACAUACAUGUAAAUACUAAUGUUCUACACUACGGUAGAACAACUCAUCUACGUGAACCUAUCCAUGCUAGUUCAAAGCCCAAGUUUACCGAUGGGUCAUGCCGCGCAGGGGCUCUAACACAAUGACCAGCAUGGAUACAUAAUAUGUGCGUAGGAUAUUGAACAAGCCCGGCGAAAUGGAUACUCUGGUUACAACAUCAAAAUAAUUAAAAACCCAUUAAUUAUGGAAGUUUUCUUUGAAUUCAGCUAGCGAUAUGGUUCCAGUUGAUCAUUAAUAUAGCAGUGUUUCAGAGCAAAUUGCCUUAUGCAGCUUAAUUAUUUAGCCCCUAUUAGAUCCCUUCAAAAUGAAGAAUUUGAAGGGAUCCAACUCGCAGCCUCAACUAAGAGAGAUGAUUCAUACAAUGAUCAGGCUUUACUAUUUGCUCUAGAGAGAUGAUUCACGCAGACAUUUACAUUAUUUUUGAAACCUAAUCUCCAAGCCAUCGUCUCCGAUUUUAAUUUGAAUGAACUAAAGCAUUGGCAGAUGACACUUGGCCAUCAUUAGACCAGAGAAGGGUUUUUUUCAGUAACCCGCUUGAGAUAGUGCUUUGACGCGUAAGUAUUUUUGGCAAGCAAUUGCUGCUACACCCCAUCCUCAGUAAAAAGCAUAAGUGAAAAUCUCUUCACUUUGUAAAUCCCUCUCCUGACUCAAACUAGCAGUUCUAUUCUUCAAAGGUUCAUACCUGUAACAUUAACCAUCCUCAGUCAUCCUAAGUUCACAUUGUGCAUGCAUGCAUUGCACAACAAGCAAAGGCACAAGGAAUGUGCUUGUGGCUCUGUGGGCCGGGGAACUCCCCCACAGUUUAUCUGAAAAAAAAUUGUGCAUGUCGCUCAUUUUGUAUUAUUCCUAGGCCUAGAAAAAUGAUGAGCUGUUUUUUGGCCUUUUCUUUCUUAGAGACCGAAGAGAAGAGAAAGAAUGGGGCAUUCGCUCCCUAUAAAUACAGCAUGCUUGUAGCUGCACGAGCAUCAGCAGCUCGCAGCUUGAUAAGCACAUAUUCCAUUCACAGUAAUAGCAAAGCAUCGAAAUGGCUUCUGCUGCUAAGACCAAGAUGGUUGCCAUUGGCAUUAUGAUGGCCAUCCUGUUCGUCGGGAUAGCCUCUGCUACGCCGGCACAAGAGGUGUGCGUGGACACGACAAAAGAAGUUCCACGCGACGACACCUGCAUCUGCUCUAAGAACUGUGCCUGUGCUGGCAUGUGCAUCCUGCAGGGUGAGGGGGAUGUUAAGACCUGUUUCGUCGAUUGUGUCCUAAAGAACGACUGCCAGUGCCCUCCUAAGGACCAGGGCGCCGAGAAGAAGACGGACGGCUAAGUUGACCGUAAUGCCAUGCCUGAGUUCUCAGGCCACCAUCAUGUUGCAAUAAUGAUGUAUUGUGUUCUUCCCUCAUCUCCCAUGCAUGCAUGCAUAUGUCAUCAUUGCCGUAUGCUUGAGGGCAGGGUUAUUGUUGUCGGGUGUCAUAGCUUAUAUAUAGCUGCAAAAUAAAAUGUUCAAGUGUGUGUUUGUGUUAUCACGUGUAUGGUUUCUAUAUCGAAGUUGUAUGCAUGCAUAUCAUAUUUGGUAUCCAUAAUAAUGUAAUAUUGAUGUACAUGUGAUGUGUUCCAUUUGCUCCUAUUUACUUUGACGUCGUUAUUUACUCUACGGCCUUCUGGGUUUCUUCCAUAUGGUACACCAACUUAUAUAUUGUUGGAACAUGCUUGUAACACCUCAAAACAGCAGCAAAGAUAAAAGAACAGGGCACACGGAAGCAACUUAAAUCAUCUAGAUAAACAUCUAACAAACUGGAUAAAAACAGAUUAUAAGCUAAGCAAAGGUUUCACAACCAAAAAUUUUUAUUACAACAUAUGUGUCCAAAAUAUAUAUAUGAAGAGAUGUGUGCACACGUGCUGUUACUCCCAUCCAACUAGGCACCCUCCAAACUCAAGAACCUGCGAAGGGGAAAAAAGCGUACGAGGUUUAUGGAAAACCUCAGCAAGCAAACUGCGUCAACCAAGUCAUUUAAACCAUAAUAUAUUAAGCAACAAUUUAAGAAUUAUUGUUAUAAAAGAAGCACCACAUCACUUCGAGUAGUAAGAUAAAUAAAUACUUCACAACAAUACUUCAUAAUGAAUAUGAAAAUGGUGCAAUGCAAUGCAUGACUUCACUUCUACCCACACAUCCCCAAGGAAGGACGUGAGGGCUGGAACCACAUUGCUAUAUGUCAACGUGCGUUAUUGUACCGGUACAUACCGUAGCAAUCCACCUACGGUUUCUUCAUAUGCAUAAACAAUAUGAGAAUGCAAAUGCAAGAUUGCAAUGCACGAACUUCGUAUACUUCAAAUUCAUAUCAUCAAAAGUGAAGCCUCAAGUGGAACAAUGUAUGUGGUGAAAACUGCGACGAGGGCAAAAAUUCUCCCUAGCCAUUAACGGCGUCGAGUACCGCUACACACACGUGCUAGAACAUCUGAAACCUUAGGGAAAACAUGUGUUGCAGCAGGGACAUGCCUCACCUAGGGUUUCCCCUUAAAAACAGCAAGGGCAACGGCAACGGCGGCGAUCCCGACCAUGAUUCCCACUCGUUUUCCUCUUCCUAGCGACGAACGUCACGGCAGCCCCGUCGAUUGCACCUAAAUUGCAACCUACAUAGCGGCAACACCAUGAACAGCGAGGAAAGGCAACUAAUUGGGGGGAAACUAGACAGCGAGGAAAGGCAACUAAUCGGGGGGAAACUGGGAGAGGAAAGGAAGCCCAACCAAUUUUCGGAGAGGAGCGGAGAUGAUGGAUGGUGGCGUACCCUAAUUUCCCUUCUCUUCUCUCUUCUCUUGUUCUCCCUCUCCACUUUGGAUCACAGCAAAAGGGAGUGAUGGCGCUGGGGUAGGAGGCGUAGGGGUAUAGGGCUUAGAAAAGGAGAGGUGGGCCGGCAAGGGAAAACACGAAGGAAGAAAAAGGAAUCGGCUACUGUAGCCGCAAGGGUACUGUAGCUAUGGGGCCAUGGCGAAAUCUUGAACCGUCCAUGACUUCAUGACUGGAACUCCAGACAAGACAUAUCAGUGAUCAAAUAGAAUGGAUUCGAUGAGCUCUAUGCAAAUAUGGCAUCCUUUCGUUCAUCCGAGCGACGGAUCUAAAAGUCAACUUUUAGCCAUCAACUUUAUGUAUUCCGACGUACAAAGCGUAUUUUAUCCUUGCCGCAUUCUGGGUGUUACAAUGCUAUAAAAUUCAAACCGUCCCCUCGUCAAUUGUGUCACAUGUGGACUUGUAAUUGAAAUAGUUAGGGGUGUAAUUUGCAUGGAUAAUUUCCACUACGAAUCUUCAUCUUUUGUUUUUAGGAUAUGCAUGCUAACAACUUUUAUGUAUCCAGUUGGAUAUUUGAAGGAUAUGUUAUCUUCUCUAUCGAGCUGUAGAUUAAUGUAGCUAUUAUUCAAAUAAGAAUCCUGCUUGACACAAACACUCUGAUAGGAUGACAAUCGGUGUUUAUCUUGCUCACAAAUAUCUUUGGGCUUGAGAAUCAAGAACAUGAAGCACUUCCCUAAUGCUUGCACACCAGCUUGGCCGCACAAUACUGUUACAACUUAAAUUAUAUGUUGAGAAAUUUUAUAGAAGUUUGACAAAAGGAUAUGUCUAACGCUAUGUUAAUAGAUUAUAAUAAAUUUACGAGUAACCAAUACUUUCUUUUCCUCCUAUACAUUUGGUUUUAUUAGAAAUAUAUUGUUCUAUCGAUUAGUAUAUAUACUUGUCAGACUAUUCUUUAAUGCUUCUGGUCAGAGGCAAUCCGUCCGUUUCUUGAUCCUGAGUCCGCUAUCAGCUCUUCUUUGAAUCCGGCAACAACAUGUGGUAAAAAGUCAAACUCGUACUAGAACGCAACGAAAUCGCAAACCUUUCUCGGCAUUCUCGCGAGCAUUUCACCUCCUUGUGCUAACCAAAAUGUGACUCCUACUGGUUUAAUAAUUUCUGUAUAGGCAGCACCGUGGUCGGCUACAAACUCAACCAGAACACCACUUAUGAAUAAGAGAGAUGGAAAAAAGAGAGAAAGUGACAGAGAAAAGGAAAUCAGAGAAGAUAAAUAAAGUGAACAGCCUGUGUAUUCAGCGAUUACUAGAUCCAGCCCACUUCAAAAUCUCCUGUGGGCAUGGCAUUUCCACAUACACAGUUCCAUAUGCUAACUGCCUCUAGAAAUGUUUCCACAAAAUCAAUAAAAAUGACUUAUCCGUUUAGGAUUUAAUAAUGGUUGGAACAAAAGCCGUGUGGAACCAAGUACCUAGAGAAAUCGUACGGUGGAAGAAAGGAGGUAUAUCUAGAGAAAAGUACAAACAUAUUCCAAACUGGUGGAACCAAGUACUAAAAAUAAUAGUGGGACCAUCACCCAAUUUAAGUUGAUUUUUUAAUUACCUUCCUAAGAUCAAUGGCUAGUAAAAUUUCAAGAAAACGUAUUUAGAAAGUACACACUGGUACCUUACGACCAUUGUAAGAAAACUCUUUUGCUUAGAUAAUUUUUGCAAACAAAUAAUUUUUGCAGCUCGCCGGCGCCCUAUCACCAGCGCGAUAGCGACAGGACGAGAGCCACGGCACCCAACCCGCGCCCGCGACAGGACGGAGCGAGAGCAGGGCAAGCCAAUCGCCGGCCGCGCGCAGGUCGCCUUCCGCUUGCCACGGCUCUGCUCCGCCAACCCUGUUUCGCCCGUUCACCGAGAAACCUGAGAUGCCCCCGACGUCCCGUGUCUCCGCCCGCUCGCCCAACCCCCACGGUAGCCUUUUCGCCUCACCCGCCCGACAGACCGGAAGCCCCAGACGCGCGCCGCCCAAGGCCAAUCACCGCCGAAGACCACCUGGAGCUCCGCCUCCUCUGCCCAAUGGCGUCGUCGGCCAAUGGCCGCCUCGCCCGAGCACUCGCCGCUCCCGGCCUUAUCCUUUCCCCACCGGAGCCCCGCCUCGACCCUCCGCGCCACCCCGGCCCUAUAAAACGGAAUCCCCUCACCGGCAAUGCCACCCCUUGCCACCGCCCGCACCUGCGCCGCCGCUUUCUCCUCUGAGCCACCGCUAAGCUUCCGUGGAACUCACCCCCUUGCGCCACCCCCACACUCCGGCGACUUCGCCGCCACCCUCAAGCCGCUUCUUCCAACACACCAGCCGCCCGCUCCUCCGCGCGGUACUAGAGCUUGCUUGUGUCCACCAGAAGCACCGCCGCCGCCGGACCACCGUCGAAGUCUCGCCGCCGCCCAAGCCUUUGUGCGUACAACCUUCCGCCCCAGCCUACUCCUUUUCGACCCCAAGGCUUCACCGGUCGACCUGGAGGUAAGCUGCUUAACCUUUUGUUUCGGUUCGUCCGACUCCUUUGUUUCGGUUCGCCCGACCUCUUUUCUUUUCGUCUCGCCCGACCUUUUCCUAUUGGCCUCGCCCGACCCUGCCAAGUUCGCCGACCCUUUCUCCGCCUCGCCCGAGGGCUCGGUUGUAACUUUUUCUUUGACCCGAGGGUAUCGGUGAAAUGUUUUCGGGGAUUCCUCUGUGUUGAGUCUGAGGACCUUGGUAUGGUUUAUCUUAAACCUGAGGGUCAGACCCUAAGUUUUCCCCAAUCCGACCCUCUCAUCCUGCUCUCCACCAACAGAAGUUGAACUCCCCCACCUUCUCUGUAGCUUUGCUACAAGUGUCCAUGUUAAAACAUGAGUGUGUUGGAAUAACCAUCUAAAUUGUUUAACCCCUGCAUUGCAUUUCCGUGUAGAGUUGAAUCUCGCCGACGGAACGUACGAGCUUCAUCCAGCACCGGAAGAAGACCCCGCUAAGGAACUGCACCCCUUCGAAGGAGAGCCCGAACCAGCGCAAGACCCCGAGGACCCGUAAGCUUUUUCUGAAGGCAAGCCCCGGUGCCUGAACUCCCUGUUUUGCUUUCAUGCCACUUAUUGAUUACUUGAUUGCGCAUUUACGUUUCGAGGAGUUGUAAUGGAACCUUAGAUGCAUAACUUAGUACCUUGUUUUUGAAUACUAGUUGCUAAGGCCGAGUAGUUGCAUUGCUUAAUAGGUUUCGGUAAAAGUCGAGUGAUCUCCUGUCACUCGCGAGUUAUAGGAGUUGAAUGUUUCAGAGUUGUCGCAACUAUAAGGAUGACGGACGGGGUCAGGCUAGUGUUCAAUGCUUGGUGGAUUGCCCCGUCUGUCUAAAUGAAAAUGAACUAAGGUCGAAACGUAUCGGUGUUCGUGAUCAAGUGAUUGAAAGUACUAAUCUCAGACCUAGUAUGGGAUGGGAAAGCCUAGUACCUGAUUGAACUGGGGCGUGGCAUACCUUCCGGCUGUCCUUGGAACGUCGUUCCCAUGGUGCAUCAUGUGGGUGCAAGUGCGGUCACAGUGCAGCAAUAGGCCGAGACUGUGGAGCAUUGCAUGCCAAAGGAAGUUGGCCCUGACACGUGCCUAAGGGAUCGAUGGGGACGGCUGACAAAUGAAGCGACCCUUCGUGGUGCGCGGAUGUCGUGAGAUUAGGUUUGCCAUGCAUGGUUAAUAAAUUCGAAUCGAUUCGUCUGGCUCUCACAGUUUGGGACUACUUGAUCGGUAUUCUGCACUAAGUAAAGAUGGAACAUGAUGAUGAUUUUAAUCUUGAUGUUUGUUAAGUAAUUGCCUGGAAACCAUGUUUGUUCAGUAUAAGUUGCUAAUCUAGAAUGGAUAAAGAACAUAGAACAUGAGCUAAAAUGUUGAAAGUAAGGACUGACUUUAGAUGCUUUUGGCAAGAAAACCCCAGAGCCAGAAAGCCUUGCAUGUCUAGGUCUCGGUCGUGUCUUUCCGACGGGUCAGUCUUGCUGAGUACUAGUUGCUCAGCCUUGUUGUGGCUAAUCUUUUUCAGGUUUUGCCAAUAGCUUGGGUGUUGGUACCACUUGGCCGACCCAGCUUCCUCCAGGCUGGACCGUCGAGUGGGAUCCUUCCUCGGAUGGCGAAGGAAGGAGUUUUUGAUGUCAUGAUCGGCUCCGUCAUGAUGUCCUGUAUCGACGUUUAAGCUUCCGCUAGUUUUCCUUUGACUUCGAACCAUGCAAAAUUUUGGUUUGAAUUUCCCAAAAAGUCUGAUGUAAUAAAUUAUUACUAUGUUGUCAUGAUGGAAUGUUGUAAUCUCUAUGCUACUCACCUUCGCGUGAGCGAUGCUUCUCGAUCCUGUUAUGUGGUUUAUCGGAGGAAAUCCGACGGUCGACCAAGUUGACUUGCUUAAAGGGCAUAAUCGCGUGUCAGGCGACUUCAAUGCAUUUUAGUCAGGUUAAUUUGAGCGGUUCCGCCACACAACGGCGACGGCAGCGAUCCCGACGAUGAUUCCCAGUCGUUUUCCUCUUCCUAGCGACGAACGUCACGGCAGCCCUGUCGAUUGCACCUAAAUUGCAACCUACAUAGCGGCACCACCAUGAACAGUGAGGAAAGGCAACUAAUUGGGGAGAAACUGGGAGAGGAAAGGAAGCCCAACCAAUUUUUGGAGAGGAAAGGAGAUGACAGACGGUGGCGUACCCUAAUUUGUCUUCUCUUCUCUCUUCUCUUGUUCUUCCUCUCCACUUUGGAUCACGGCAAAAGGGAGUAAUCAAUACUUUCUUUUCCUCCUAUACAUUUGGUUUUAUUAGAAAUAUAUUGUUCUAUCGAUUAGUAUAUAUACUUGUCAGACUAUUCUUUAAUGCUUCUGGUCAGAGGCAAUCCGUCCGUUUCUUGAUCCUGAGUCCGCUAUCAGCUCUUCUUUGAAUCCGGCAACAACAUGUGGUAAAAAGUCAAACUCGUACUAGAACGCAACGAAAUCGCAAACCUUUCUCGGCAUUCUCGCGAGCAUUUCACCUCCUUGUGCUAACCAAAAUGUGACUCCUACUGGUUUAAUAAUUUCUGUAUAGGCAGCACCGUGGUCGGCUACAAACUCAACCAGAACACCACUUAUGAAUAAGAGAGAUGGAAAAAAGAGAGAAAGUGACAGAGAAAAGGAAAUCAGAGAAGAUAAAUAAAGUGAACAGCCUGUGUAUUCAGCGAUUACUAGAUCCAGCCCACUUCAAAAUCUCCUGUGGGCAUGGCAUUUCCACAUACACAGUUCCAUAUGCUAACUGCCUCUAGAAAUGUUUCCACAAAAUCAAUAAAAAUGACUUAUCCGUUUAGGAUUUAAUAAUGGUUGGAACAAAAGCCGUGUGGAACCAAGUACCUAGAGAAAUCGUACGGUGGAAGAAAGGAGGUAUAUCUAGAGAAAAGUACAAACAUAUUCCAAACUGGUGGAACCAAGUACUAAAAAUAAUAGUGGGACCAUCACCCAAUUUAAGUUGAUUUUUUAAUUACCUUCCUAAGAUCAAUGGCUAGUAAAAUUUCAAGAAAACGUAUUUAGAAAGUACACACUGGUACCUUACGACCAUUGUAAGAAAACUCUUUUGCUUAUAUUGAGUUUUGCAAACAAAAAUUGUUAAAGGAUAUAUCAUUCUAUAUAGAUUUAACUAUAUUUAUAACAAAAUAUACACAGCUAGAACACGAGGUUAGUUAUGUUAAAUAGAUUAUAAAAUGUGGUUUCAUAAUGUGUUCAUUUGAUAUUAUUUUAAUGUGCAUUUUGUAACGUGUCGACGUAGCGCCAACUUCUUUCUAUUCUUGGAUACCCAUGCAUACUCUGGAUAUGUACCACUGGUGCUCUUGGCUAGCUUGCAGAGACGCACAAAGACGUUAAAGAGCGUGAGUCACGACUUUGUCUCAUCUCUGAAAGCCUAGACCAUCGAAGAUUGACCUUGCUUCUUUGCUGGUCCUCCAGCCAUCGUGUAUCAUGCUAUUUUUUUCUUAUUAUAUAAACCAAUAUUCCGGUCAUCCAUGAGGAUUGCGUAAGGUAACCCUUGUACCAAAUUAUGAAAUUAAAGGUAUUGUGCAUCAAGGUAUGAAAUAUCUCACUGUGUCACAAAGAAAAAAACUUGUGUCUUCUAAUGAAAUCUAUAUGGCAUUUCACUACUACAAAAAAUAUUUUUAGCGGCGGUUGAAACCACAAUUUCAAAGGUGGAUCUAGCAACCGCCCUUCUUUUUGCAGCUUAAAAUAGGUAAUUUGCAGCGUCGGUUGUUGAAUUUGUGUAUGAAGUAAUAAUGGAAUUUAAUUUAGUUUGUGAAUGUGUUGCCACAACAACUCGUACAAUGUUGCAUCAUAUUAAUUCUAGCUUAUGCAAUGAUUCUUUCUUUCAGCAUCCUUCUCUCUUCCAGGUUAUCAAGCAUCAUAUAUGGCAGUGUAUCAGACAACUUAUGAGUCAGCAACUUGUACCAACGUGCUUGCUCUUGUAUCAUGAAGGACUCCAAUGAUAUGAAGAGCCUAUGCUGAGGACAACAUAGGAUCGUGUAUCAUGCUUUGUGCCAGUUGUUCGUUUGCAACUAUUAUUUGUCUGUACGUAUCAUGGACCAAACGACGAGUCACUAUCUUUUGCUUUCUGUACAUGCAUGGCACGUCAUUGAAGCAUUGCCUUCUGCUUUUGGAUAGCCGCACUACAUAGUUUGGAUAAGUAGCUUGUGGCCUUUGUAACGACUUGAUAUGUUCUUGGGAAGCCUCUCGCUGGCUCGCCGUCCAAGUCUUCAAGAGGCUGGUAUAACCUCUUGGCUGCGAUCAAUCAUGUAUCACGCCAUCUCCUGUUGUUUAGAUGAAAACCAACAUUCCAUGCAUGCAUUGAAAUAAAGGCACCAAGUGCUGCGUCAAUCAACGGUUGUUUGAAUGAUGUUCUCCAGAAAUACUUUUUAAAAGUGUAUGGUUUUUCUCUCCAGCUAUUAUCCAGUACAGUAGUAGCCAAUCCGUUCCUGAAAAUAGUAGCCAAUCUGUUCCCGAAAAUCAAUUUCUAGGUAUACCAAGGAGUGUGUAGGUGGUGGUGCCACGUUUUUUUUAAAAACUUUUAUCAUUGAUUUCUAGGUCUGGGUAACCACGUCAACCACCUUUCGAACUCCUAUUUUCAGGAGCAGGCUCAUUCUAUGGCCUGCCCCUAGAAAUGCAUUUACAAGGGGCAGGUCAUACCACGCUCCUCCAUAAUGCACGAACGGGCUUUGCACCUGCUCUUAAAGAUACGUUUUCGACUGGUCCUAGAAAAUAUUUCCAUAGCGGUGGUUCUUUUGCAUUUCACGUGUUUUCACCAAAAAAUAUUUUUGAAAUCCUCAUCAAAAAUAUAUUUACUAGCAAUAUUGUUUUUGCUGCUAGAUAAUUGUUGUAAAUAUGGCACAUAUAAUGGUUAAAAUGUGAGUCUAAGUUGAAUGAGGUAAAGUGAAGGAUCACAAAAAUCCACUGGCAAGCCAUUUGUAGUUCUCAUGCUUCAAUGUUGUCUUAUGGUGAAUCCUAUACAUUACCGCAUAACUUGUGAUAAUUUAAAGAGUGAAUUCCCUCAAUGUCAUUAGAAUUUUUAUGGAUUCCUUCAAUGCUAUUAAAAUUUUUCACUUCCUUUCACCGGCACUAUUCUAAAUUUCCACGCCAUUUGCCACUAUAUUGCCACUAUUCUAAAAAUUUAAAACUCCUACGUCAUAUUGCAUUAGGCUGCUGACGUAUAUUAAGGUAUGAAUCUCCCGAAGGAGAUGGAGAGCCUGUGCUGAGAUGAGUAUCAUACUUUGUGUCUGUUUUUCAUUUCCACGCUACUUGCCACUAUUUGUCCAUAUCGAAGGACUAAACAGCGUGGCACUAUCUUUUGCUUUGUGCACAUGCCACGUUGACGAAGCAUCACGUACCUUCUGCUUUUGGAUAGCAGCUACUUAUUCUCGAUAAGCAACUUGUGGCCGGUAUAGACUCCAUAUGUAAUCGCUAGCUAGGGUUCAAACGGCAAACGGCAACACCAACUAAUUUUUUUGAAAACAUUAGCAGGAGUUAUGCCUAUUCAUUUAAGUAGAAGAGAAUGUUCUGAUGGGGGUUGCAACAACUUUUGGUACGUGACUACCUAGAUAGUACAACGAACCAUAACAUAACUUUGUCUAAGCCCUCAGCAUAAGAGUUGUUGGCAUGCCGCCUGGCUAUGCCGUCCUGUAUCACAUCAUCUCCUGUUUUCAUCUGACUUAUGUAAAAGAUGCUCUCUUUUUUAAUUCAACUAUGGUUGACCCUACUAUUAGUAGAUCCAGCCCACUUAAAGAACCUCAUGUGGACAUGGCAUUUCCACGCGCAGUGCAUGCGGGAGCUGUCUCCAGAAAUAGUUCCACAAAAUCCAUAAAAAAAUAUCGUAUUCUUCUGAUUAUAAUGAGAUUUGUGAAGAAAUUUUUGAAAAGGAUAUAUCAUGAACAUGCCCAUCACUAGUAACACAGGUACUUUCCUCUAUACUGAAAUAUAUAGCUUUGUCCGAAGUUAAAAUACAUUCUAUUUCCCUUUUCAUAGUAUAAACCAAUAUUCCCGUCAUCCAUGCAUUCUUGAAUGCGUCAGUUUCGUUUCCAGAGCCUCCAUGGGGUAACCCUUGUACCAAAGACUAUUCGGUAUUCUUGUACAGGCGCACAAAAGACAUCAAGGAGCGUGAAUCACGACUUUGUCUCAUUUCUGAAAGCCCUCGCUCGGAGAUGCACGAAGACACCAAGAACCUUGAAUAUGAUGAUUCUUGGUAAAAUAAAUCAGCUGGGGUUUGUUCUUGUUUAUCUUUUGCGAGCCUGACACCAAUUGCCGUGAAUCACGAUUUUAUCUCAUCUUUGAAAGACCUCACCAUAUAUAAGAGGUGGACCUUGCUGGUGCUCCAGCAGUCCAACCAUGCUGUAUCAUCACGCUAUUUCCUUUUUCUUAGCAAACCAAUAUUCAAGUUUUGUGGAGAGCCUUCAUGUGUUAAACCAUGUACAUCACAUUAUCACAAAGACGCAUGCACAUCAAAGUUUUGAAUAUGUCAAGAAAAAUUCCUUAUGUCGACCUCUCAUGCAAUGGAUACGACAUUAUACAAAAACAUAGAAAUUAAAGCUAGCUAGGUUAAUUAAUAAGAUUUAAGUAGCCAAAGAAUAUCAUGAAUUUCUGUACCUUUUCUCCGGCAUCCAACAUACAUGUAAAUAUAUACUUAUGUUCUACACUACUGUAGAACAACUUAUCCAUGUGACUAUGUCAUCCAAUAAUAUCCAUGCAGUCCAAAGUCCAAUGUUACCUAUGGGUCAUCUGGGUCAACCGGCAGCCGCGUAGGGCCCGGGGCUCGAAUACACCAACCAAAGUCCAACUUUACCUAUGGAACAUCAUUCAAACUUCAUUAUCAUGAUCAAUACCUACCAGCAUAUAGUGAUGGGAGUUGAGCAUGAUAUACGGUGGAUUCCACGGAGUGACAGGAGUAUUCAAAAAAUUUCAAAAAAAUAUGAGUAGAAUAGAAGGUUUUGAGUUUCCUACUGCUUGUUGUUUGACCUAUAUGGUUCUAUUAAUUCAUUUAUUGCUCUAAUACCAUCCCUGUGGGGACUUCCCUUCGGAAAUCCCGCUGAUUACCUAUAUCAGUCCCCGGAUCGGUAGCUGAUACAGCCCUCAUCACAGAUUAGCAGCAAAACAAUAAAAGACGCAUAAAGUUAUGGAAAAAUAGUUUUUCAAUUUGCAUAGCGGGGUGGUGCAGUUGCCCACUCCACAGCCAGAAUGAAUCUGGAACUUCUAACCUGUUCGACAGAAGCAAGGCUGAGUAUACUUAUAGUUUGUAAUCCUAGCAUUAAAAUUAUAUAAAAUGCAUAUAUGAUCAAGGAAAGGAAGAGGAGGUUUGGUUUUAUCAAGAGACUCAUUUUAUGUAAGGUCAUGUGAGUUUUGGGAAAGGAAAAGAAAGAAAGCGCUUUUACGAAGUUGUUGGCCCCGGAGGGGGAAUGCAUGACGGUCGACAAGGAUAGGGCGGUCGGAGGUGAUGCAUGGCGAGGGGGGAAGUACGGCAAGGAUAAGGGAGGAGGGGGAGGGGAUGGGGCUGCCUUGCUUGGGGUGAAGGUGGCCAAGGGGAGCCGCACCGGCAGGGCGGCGCUGGGCGCGGCAACACUGGCGAGCGGGCGCAGGCCACGCGUUAGCGGGCUGUGGCGGAGGGCGCCAGUGCGAGCGAGCCGUGUGUGCGUGCUGGGUUGACUCGGGCAUGGGAGGAAGCGGAGGUGAGCAGGGCCGAAAUGGGGAGUGGCCGAAACGGAGGUUGCGGCCCAUUCGACAUUCUGGUUUGGUUUUUCAUUUUUUUGAGAAUAGGUUUGAAUCCAAAUUUUAAAUGGAUUUCAAAUUUAAAUGAAAUUUGAGUUGCAGACUAGGAUUAGACAUGAAAUUAGGGCUUUUUCGAAGAGUUUGAGGUUUGAUGAUAUUGGAGUAUGGCUAGAUUUGAAUAGAGGCAUUGUAGAGGUUUGGAUGAAAUUAAUAUUCAAAUUAAAUUGGAUAUCACUUCUAGGAUUUUAGGAAAAUAAAUAUUAUUCCUAGGAUAUUAGGGAUUUAAAUAAUCUGAUGAUGAGAGGGGUUUGGCAUAGACUCAAGGAUUUGCAUAUUGGAUUUAGAUAAUAUUUAGAGGGAAUUUGGCAUAGGGUCUGGAUGGAGUUAAUAUUUGAAUGAAAUGCAAAUAUUCUUCCCAAGGUUUCUGGAAAGAGAAGUUUAUCGAGAAAAUACUUCUAGGAUUGGAGAGAAAAGAGUGUUCACGAAGAGUUCCAAGGGCACCCAAAUGCAACACACAUGAUGGUAACUAAUGCAAGAUUUACUUAUAAAAAGGUUUUGAAUAUUUGGGGAAAAUUAUGUUUAGUUUAUAGUAAAGGUUAUUUGUUGUCGGUGUCGCAGCAUAUAUACAUUUGCAGUCACUAUGACUGCAUUAUGUAUAGCUGCAAGAUAAAUGUGUAAGUGUGUGUGCUAUAAUUGUAUGGCUUUAAUUUAACAUUUAUGCAUCCAUACCACAGUAUAUGUAUUUGUCAACCACAAUAAUAAUAUAAUAUCGGUGUACUACAUCUCCUGUCUUCAAUUUGCUUAUUUACUUUUGAUGCUUCUAGGGUUUUUCCAUUAUACACUAACUUAUCUAUAGCUAGCCAUAUAACUGGAACAUACCAUAUAAAGUCCAAACCAUCGACAACUGGAACAUGCCAUAUAAGCCCUCCUUUCGUGCCUCGUGCCGCUCCCACUCUAGACUUUUAGGCACGUUGGGCCAUGACGACACGGAAUGACAAUAAGUUUUUUCCUAGGCCCAUGCACGACCCAUGGCAUGGUGGCAUGGCUCUCAGAAUAUAUGAUGCUACCAUUCGUCUUCUCACGUAUAUAGUUUCUAAAUUAGUAGAGGGAUUGAACUUGGAUAUAUAGAUUGUGGCUAUUGUAAUGACUUGAUAUAUUCUUGGAAAGCCCGCGCCGUCCUAGAGGCUGGCAAGACUGCUUGGCUGCCAGGACUCGUGUAUCAUGCCAUCUCCUAUUUUUUAGUGCAAACCAACAUACCUGUAAAAUACUAAUGUUCUACACUAUGGUAGAACAACUCAUCUACGGAUUGAACAUGGAUAUAUGACAUUGUAGGUUGAUGUUAGGAUUGCCCGUGGUGAUAUGGGAGGCUGCAAAAUUUAAGAUUUUAUAAAUAUUUAUUUGUAUGAUUCUAAUCAUGAAAGGUAGAUUUUAUGAUUUUCUUAUAUGAACAUUGUUUAUGCCAAGCUUUAUGGAAGGCGGCACGGACGAUUUUCAAAGGACCAGCUGCAGAUUAGCUGAUGGGCUAUUUUUGUGCCAUCCUAGUCCAAGCACAGCUGAGAUACCAUACGUGUCUGUGCUGUGCUGCCCAUCAUGCUGAGGUUCUUGGCAUGGCACGGCUCUUGUGUUUGUGUCGUGCUAGCACGUCCCAAAAUUUAUCGUGUCGUACCGUAAUUUGGCUAUGCCAAAAUAUCAUGUUUCAGUUGGUCCAUAAAUAACACGGACCAGGUCACAGCUGAAAUUUUAGCCAUACCCUUGUUAUUUGUGAAUAGGAAAUGUUGGUUCUCAGUAAAUUGCUCUGACGAUUACUUCUUCCAUCUGGAAAAAAUAAGUGUGUACUUUAUUCCAAAACUACAGGUGGUCCAGUCCUCGUGAUGUCUGUCGUUAAGCAAUUGCCUAUUCUUCAAGCUUGCACAGACGCACAAUGACACUAAGGUGCGUGAAUCACGACUUUGCCUCGUCUUUGAAAGCCCUCGCAAUUAGAUCGACCUUUAUUGCUGCUCGCUGUUGAUGCACAAAGCUAGACACCAAGAACCUUAAAUAUGGCGAUUUUUGGUAAAAUAUAUCAGAUGCUGUUUGUUCUUUGCUACCUUUCGCGCGAGCUUGACAGCAAGUGCCGUGAAUCACGACUUUGUCCAUCUUUGAAAGACCUCACCAUCAGGGAUGGACCUUGCUGGUACCUGGUCCACCAGACGUCCUGUAUCAGGCUAUCUCCUUUUUCUUUGCAAACCAAUAUUCCCUGCAUGCAUGGAUGACGGAUGCUUAAAGACACAGAGUGCGUGCGUGAAAAUCGUUUUGUGGAUCCUACACGAGCUAAACCUUGUACAGCAUAUUAACAUAAAGACUAUGUUAUGCAUCAAUGUUUUGAAUAUCUCACUAUCUAUGAUAGGAAGAAAAACUCCUUAAAAGACAUUAUAUGAAAACAUUGAAGCUGGGUUAAGUAAAUAAGAUUUAACUAGCCAAAGAACACUUUGAAUUCCUGUACCUUUUUUCCCGGCAUCCAACAUACAUGUAAAUACUAAUGUUCUACACUACGGUAGAACAACUCAUCUACGUGAACCUAUCCAUGCUAGUUCAAAGCCCAAGUUUACCGAUGGGUCAUGCCGCGCAGGGGCUCUAACACAAUGACCAGCAUGGAUACAUAAUAUGUGCGUAGGAUAUUGAACAAGCCCGGCGAAAUGGAUACUCUGGUUACAACAUCAAAAUAAUUAAAAACCCAUUAAUUAUGGAAGUUUUCUUUGAAUUCAGCUAGCGAUAUGGUUCCAGUUGAUCAUUAAUAUAGCAGUGUUUCAGAGCAAAUUGCCUUAUGCAGCUUAAUUAUUUAGCCCCUAUUAGAUCCCUUCAAAAUGAAGAAUUUGAAGGGAUCCAACUCGCAGCCUCAACUAAGAGAGAUGAUUCAUACAAUGAUCAGGCUUUACUAUUUGCUCUAGAGAGAUGAUUCACGCAGACAUUUACAUUAUUUUUGAAACCUAAUCUCCAAGCCAUCGUCUCCGAUUUUAAUUUGAAUGAACUAAAGCAUUGGCAGAUGACACUUGGCCAUCAUUAGACCAGAGAAGGGUUUUUUUUCAGUAACCCGCUUGAGAUAGUGCUUUGACGCGUAAGUAUUUUUGGCAAGCAAUUGCUGCUACACCCCAUCCUCAGUAAAAAGCAUAAGUGAAAAUCUCUUCACUUUGUAAAUCCCUCUCCUGACUCAAACUAGCAGUUCUAUUCUUCAAAGGUUCAUACCUGUAACAUUAACCAUCCUCAGUCAUCCUAAGUUCACAUUGUGCAUGCAUGCAUUGCACAACAAGCAAAGGCACAAGGAAUGUGCUUGUGGCUCUGUGGGCCGGGGAACUCCCCCACAGUUUAUCUGAAAAAAAAUUGUGCAUGUCGCUCAUUUUGUAUUAUUCCUAGGCCUAGAAAAAUGAUGAGCUGUUUUUUGGCCUUUUCUUUCUUAGAGACCGAAGAGAAGAGAAAGAAUGGGGCAUUCGCUCCCUAUAAAUACAGCAUGCUUGUAGCUGCACGAGCAUCAGCAGCUCGCAGCUUGAUAAGCACAUAUUCCAUUCACAGUAAUAGCAAAGCAUCGAAAUGGCUUCUGCUGCUAAGACCAAGAUGGUUGCCAUUGGCAUUAUGAUGGCCAUCCUGUUCGUCGGGAUAGCCUCUGCUACGCCGGCACAAGAGGUGUGCGUGGACACGACAAAAGAAGUUCCACGCGACGACACCUGCAUCUGCUCUAAGAACUGUGCCUGUGCUGGCAUGUGCAUCCUGCAGGGUGAGGGGGAUGUUAAGACCUGUUUCGUCGAUUGUGUCCUAAAGAACGACUGCCAGUGCCCUCCUAAGGACCAGGGCGCCGAGAAGAAGACGGACGGCUAAGUUGACCGUAAUGCCAUGCCUGAGUUCUCAGGCCACCAUCAUGUUGCAAUAAUGAUGUAUUGUGUUCUUCCCUCAUCUCCCAUGCAUGCAUGCAUAUGUCAUCAUUGCCGUAUGCUUGAGGGCAGGGUUAUUGUUGUCGGGUGUCAUAGCUUAUAUAUAGCUGCAAAAUAAAAUGUUCAAGUGUGUGUUUGUGUUAUCACGUGUAUGGUUUCUAUAUCGAAGUUGUAUGCAUGCAUAUCAUAUUUGGUAUCCAUAAUAAUGUAAUAUUGAUGUACAUGUGAUGUGUUCCAUUUGCUCCUAUUUACUUUGACGUCGUUAUUUACUCUACGGCCUUCUGGGUUUCUUCCAUAUGGUACACCAACUUAUAUAUUGUUGGAACAUGCUUGUAACACCUCAAAACAGCAGCAAAGAUAAAAGAACAGGGCACACGGAAG
Molecule: long non-coding RNA, 37493 nt
Filed under: Setaria italica (foxtail millet)
Lineage: Eukaryota; Viridiplantae; Streptophyta; Magnoliopsida; Poales; Poaceae
Description: long non-coding RNA (SITA_LNC000067)
Source: RNAcentral